This 490-nucleotide ribosomal RNA is filed under the name uncultured bacterium. RNAcentral's name for it is "partial 16S ribosomal RNA". It matches the Rfam family "Bacterial small subunit ribosomal RNA", at positions 30 to 507 of the family's 1533-position model. The record is from RNAcentral.
AUUGAACGCUGGCGGCAGGCCUAACACAUGCAAGUCGAACGGUAACAGGAAGACGCUUGCUUCUUUGCUGACGAGUGGCGGACGGGUGAGUAAUGUCUGGGAAACUGCCUGAUGGAGGGGGAUAACUACUGGAAACGGUAGCUAAUACCGCAUAACGUCGCAAGACCAAAGAGGGGGACCUUCGGGCCUCUUGCCAUCGGAUGUGCCCAGAUGGGAUUAGCUUGUUGGUGGGGUAACGGCUCACCAAGGCGACGAUCCCUAGCUGGUCUGAGAGGAUGACCAGCCACACUGGAACUGAGACACGGUCCAGACUCCUACGGGAGGCAGCAGUGGGGAAUAUUGCACAAAGGGCGCAAGCCUGAUGCAGCCAUGCCGCGUGUAUGAAGAAGGCCUUCGGGUUGUAAAGUACUUUCAGCGGGGAGGAAGGGAGUAAAGUUAAUACCUUUGCUCAUUGACGUUACCCGCAGAAGAAGCACCGGCUAACUCCGUG